RNAcentral lists this ribosomal RNA (386 nucleotides) under uncultured bacterium. RNAcentral's name for it is "bacterial SSU rRNA". It matches the Rfam family "Bacterial small subunit ribosomal RNA", at positions 30 to 410 of the family's 1533-position model. The record is from RNAcentral.
AGUGAACGCUGGCGGCAGGCCUAACACAUGCAAGUCGAACGGCAGCACGGCAGUAGCAAUACUGUGGGUGGCGAGUGGCGGACGGGUGAGGAAUACAUCGGAAUCUACCCUGUUGUGGGGGAUAACGUAGGGAAACUUACGCUAAUACCGCAUAAGAACUGAGGUUGAAAGCGGCGGACCGCAAGGCGUCGCGCGAUUGGAUGAACCGAUGUCCGAUUAGCUAGUUGGCGGGGUAAAGGCCCACCAAGGCGACGAUCGGUAGCUGGUCUGAGAGGACGACCAGCCACACUGGAACUGAGACACGGUCCAGACUCCUACGGGAGGCAGCAGUGGGGAAUAUUGGACAAUGGGCGCAAGCCUGAUCCAGCCAUGCCGCGUGGGUGAAG